GGUUUUAUAGUCAAUGUUUAUGACGUCGAAUUGCAAGUUCGAAGUAGUAUUAGUAUAUUAAGACCU
Molecule: transfer RNA, 66 nt
Filed under: Ctenolepisma longicaudatum (long-tailed silverfish)
Lineage: Eukaryota; Metazoa; Arthropoda; Insecta; Zygentoma; Lepismatidae
Description: tRNA-Cys
Source: RNAcentral